RNAcentral lists this ribosomal RNA (492 nucleotides) under uncultured bacterium. RNAcentral describes it as "partial 16S ribosomal RNA". It matches the Rfam family "Bacterial small subunit ribosomal RNA", at positions 29 to 507 of the family's 1533-position model. The record is from RNAcentral.
AGUGAACGCUGGCGGUAGGCCUAACACAUGCAAGUCGAACGGCAGCACAGUAAGAGCUUGCUCUUACGGGUGGCGAGUGGCGGACGGGUGAGGAAUACAUCGGAAUCUACUUUUUCGUGGGGGAUAACGUAGGGAAACUUACGCUAAUACCGCAUACGACCUACGGGUGAAAGCAGGGGAUCUUCGGACCUUGCGCGAUUGAAUGAGCCGAUGUCGGAUUAGCUAGUUGGCGGGGUAAAGGCCCACCAAGGCGACGAUCCGUAGCUGGUCUGAGAGGAUGAUCAGCUACACUGGAACUGAGACACGGUCCAGACUCCUACGGGAGGCAGCAGUGGGGAAUAUUGGACAGUGGGCGCAAGCCUGAUCCAGCCAUACCGCGUGGGUGAAGAAGGCCUUCGGGUUGUAAAGCCCUUUUGUUGGGAAAGAAAAGCAGCAGGUUAAUACCCCGCUGUUCUGACGGUACCCAAAGAAUAAGCACCGGCUAACUUCGUG